CCUACGGGGUGCUGCAGUGGGGAAUAUUGGACAAUGGGCGAAAGCCUGAUCCAGCCAUGCCGCGUGUGUGAAGAAGGCCUUCGGGUUGUAAGGCACUUUCAGUGGGGAAGAAAGCCUUGGGGCUAAUACCCUCGAGGAAGGACAUCACCCACAGAAGAAGCACCGGCUAACUCCGUGCCAGCAGCCGCGGUAAUACGGAGGGUGCGAGCGUUAAUCGGAAUUACUGGGCGUAAAGCGCGCGUAGGCGGUCUGAUAAGCCGGUUGUGAAAGCCCCGGGCUCAACCUGGGAACGGCAUCCGGAACUGUCAGGCUAGAGUGCAGGAGAGGAAGGUAGAAUUCCCGGUGUAGCGGUGAAAUGCGUAGAGAUCGGGAGGAAUACCAGUGGCGAAGGCGGCCUUCUGGACUGACACUGACGCUGAGGUGCGAAAGCGUGGGUAGCAAACAGGAUUAGAUACCCUGGUAGUC
RNAcentral lists this ribosomal RNA (465 nucleotides) under Vreelandella stevensii. RNAcentral describes it as "partial 16S ribosomal RNA". It matches the Rfam family "Bacterial small subunit ribosomal RNA", at positions 338 to 795 of the family's 1533-position model. Lineage: Bacteria; Pseudomonadati; Pseudomonadota; Gammaproteobacteria; Oceanospirillales; Halomonadaceae. The record is from RNAcentral.